UACGUAGGGUGCGAGCGUUAAUCGGAAUUACUGGGCGUAAAGCGUGCGCAGGCGGCGCGUUAAGACAGGUGUGAAAGCCCCGAGCUUAACUUGGGAAUUGCGCUUGUGACUGGCGUGCUGGAGUGUGGCAGAGGGAGGUGGAAUUCCACGUGUAGCAGUGAAAUGCGCAGAUAUCAGGAGGAACACCAAUAGCGAAGGCAGCUCGCUGGGACGGUACUGACGCUGAGACGCGAAAGCGUGGGGAGCAAACAGG
Molecule: ribosomal RNA, 253 nt
Filed under: uncultured bacterium
Lineage: Bacteria
Description: partial 16S ribosomal RNA
Rfam family: Bacterial small subunit ribosomal RNA
Source: RNAcentral